UAACUGAAUAGCUUGGACCGGCGGGAACCCACACGGGUCACCCGCAAAUUGAUUGGUAUUCUUAGCAGAGAAGGUAACGGGGAAAACGAGUAGAAGUUUAAUUGAAACUCGAAAGCGACCCUCCAAUUUUGUGGACUCUCUUCUCUGGUCAAUAUUACUUGUUGUCUUCAUCCUAGUUUAUUCAUUUAUUUAUCAACGUUUCUUGCACUACUUAAGUUAUCACACACAGUACCAGAAGUUUCUUCGGGAAUCUCUAGUCAAUAAUCCAUUUUUCUAUGUGACUUUCACUGCAAUUCAUUGUUUGAGUUCAACAAUUAAAGAAUCGUGUCGAUUGCUGUUAAUUAUAGCAUGAAUUAAACCGGGUUUCGGGAAAUUAAGGAGAGAGAAUCAAGAUAUGAUGAUAAAUUUUCAAGGUCUUUCAAAGCAGAAAUCUCCCCAGGUACUGCCUCUU
RNAcentral lists this long non-coding RNA (451 nucleotides) under Nicotiana benthamiana. Its description in RNAcentral is "long non-coding RNA (NBEN_LNC002255)". Lineage: Eukaryota; Viridiplantae; Streptophyta; Magnoliopsida; Solanales; Solanaceae. The record is from RNAcentral.